GAUGAACGCUGGCGGCGUGCCUAAUACAUGCAAGUCGAGCGAACAGACGAGGAGGUUUCCCCUCUGUGGCUAGCGGCGCACGCGUGUGUGACACGCGUAGAUCCUCUUUAUAAUACUCGGAGAACACUGGGAAACAGCAGCUAUUACCCCACAAUAUAUUUAACCUCACGGGUCACUAUUGUAAGAGGGUGUUGCGCUCACUCAUAGAUAUUUCCGCGCCGCAUUAGCUAGAUGUUAAGGUAACGGGUUACCAAGGGAACGAUGCGUAUCCGACCUGAGAGGGUGAUCGGCCACACUGGGACUGAGACACGGUCCAGACUCCUACGGGAGGCAGCAGUAGGGAAUCUUCCGCAAUGGACGAAAGUUUGACGGAGUAACGCCGCGUGAGUGAUGAAGGUCUUCGGAUCGUAAAACUCUGUUAUAAGGGAAGAACAAAUGUGUAAGUAACUGAGCGCGCCUUGACGGUACCUAAUCAGAAAGCCACGGCUAACUACGUG
Molecule: ribosomal RNA, 497 nt
Filed under: uncultured bacterium
Lineage: Bacteria
Description: partial 16S ribosomal RNA
Rfam family: Bacterial small subunit ribosomal RNA
Source: RNAcentral